Molecule: ribosomal RNA, 500 nt
Filed under: uncultured bacterium
Lineage: Bacteria
Description: partial 16S ribosomal RNA
Rfam family: Bacterial small subunit ribosomal RNA
Source: RNAcentral
AUUGAACGCUGGCGGCAGGCCUAUCACAUGCAAGUCGAGCGGAUGACGGGAGCUUGCUCCUUGAUUCAGCGGCGGACGGGUGAGUAAUGCCUAGGAAUCUGCCUGGUAGUGGGGGACAACGUUUCGAAAGGAACGCUAAUACCGCAUACGUCCUACGGGAGAAAGCAGGGGACCUUCGGGCCUUGCGCUAUCAGAUGAGCCUAGGUCGGAUUAGCUAGUAGGUGAGGUAAUGGCUCACCUAGGCGACGAUCCGUAACUGGUCUGAAAGGAUGAUCAGUCACACUGGAACUGAGACACGGUCCAGACUCCUACGGGAGGCAGCAGUGGGGAAUAUUGGACAAUGGGCGAAAGCCUGAUCCAGCCACGCCGCGUGUGUGAAGAAGGUCUUCGGAUUGUAAAGCACUUUAAGUUGGGAGGAAGGGCAGUAAGUUAAUACCUUGCUGUUUUGACGUUACCGACAGAAUAAGCACCGGCUAACUCUGUGCCAGCCGCCGCAGUAA